UUGUGGCUUAGUGGGAGAGCGCUUGCCUCACGAGCAAAAGGCCCUGGGUUCAAUCCCCAGCAUCACAA
This is a non-coding RNA of Sciurus carolinensis (gray squirrel), 68 nucleotides long. Lineage: Eukaryota; Metazoa; Chordata; Mammalia; Rodentia; Sciuridae. The record is from the annotation of a RefSeq genome assembly.